CGGAGAAGGCUAUGUUAGCCGGGCGACGGUUGUCCCGGUUUAAGCAUGUAGGCUGAUUGUCCAGGCAAAUCCGGAUAAUCAAGGCUGAGGUGUGAUGACGAGGCACUACGGUGCUGAAGUAACAAAUGCCCUGCUUCCAGGAAAAGCCUCUAAGCAUCAGGUAACAUCAAAUCGUACCCCAAACCGACACAGGUGGUCAGGUAGAGAAUACCAAGGCGCUUGAGAGAACUCGGGUGAAGGAACUAGGCAAAAUGGUGCCGUAACUUCGGGAGAAGG
This 276-nucleotide ribosomal RNA is filed under the name Klebsiella pneumoniae. RNAcentral's name for it is "partial 23S ribosomal RNA". It matches the Rfam family "Bacterial large subunit ribosomal RNA", at positions 1473 to 1746 of the family's 2925-position model. The record is from RNAcentral. Lineage: Bacteria; Pseudomonadati; Pseudomonadota; Gammaproteobacteria; Enterobacterales; Enterobacteriaceae.